Long non-coding RNA from Mercenaria mercenaria, 466 nucleotides. RefSeq lists it as uncharacterized. The record is from RefSeq and is a predicted model, not a curated record. The transcript is spliced from 3 exons. Lineage: Eukaryota; Metazoa; Mollusca; Bivalvia; Venerida; Veneridae.
UGUAGGUUUUACAGAGUUUCUCGGAGUGCCUUAAAGCAAAUAUAUAACUUCAUUUGAACAAAGGCCUGCUGAAUAAGUGCCCAGCGUUCCAGAAGGCAUUUACAGGAUAUCUUCGUGUCUUAUCUAUGCAGUACGCCCCCUGGUGACACAUUGCUACAUCCGGGUGAUAUACUGACAGCUCUCUAUCUGCAUGCGGUUCAUUGGAGAUUGUUACAGUAACAUAUUUGGUACAGCGAUAUGAGGAUGGUUAGAUACUGCAGCCACGAGAAUCAUUGAAACUUACGUUGCCAACGUUACAGAUAGUGGACCCAGCAUAAUGACGUAUUCCAUCACAGCGUUAUAUUUUACGUUUACGUCACUGAUGUCAACAGGAUUCGGAAACGUGUCACCAAAUACCAAUGGAAUUGACAUGGCGGUUUAUUUGUAUAGACUUUCUAUGAAUCAAGUAGUGUACCGGUGAUGACAU